GACGAACGCUGGCGGCGUGCUUAACACAUGCAAGUCGAACGGAAAGGCCCUGCUUGCAGGGUGCUCGAGUUGCGAACGGGUGAGUAACACGUGGGUGAUCUGCCCCUUACUUUGGGAUAAGCCUGGGAAGCUGGGUCUAAUACUGGAUAGGACCAUGCUGUAGGUGGUGUGGUGGAAAGAUUAGUUUCGGUAAGGGAUGAGCUCGCGGCCUAUCAGCUUGUUGGUGGGGUAAUGGCCUACCAAGGCGUCGACGGGUAGCCGGCCUGAGAGGGUGGACGGCCACAUUGGGACUGAGAUACGGCCCAGACUCCUACGGGAGGCAGCAGAGGGGAAUAUUGCACAAUGGGCGCAAGCCUGAUGCAGCGACGCCGCGUGGGGGAUGACGGCCUUCGGGUUGUAAACUCCUUUCAGCCAUGACGAAGCCCUUGUGGUGACGGUAGUGGUAGAAGAAGCACCGGCUAACUACGUG
This 469-nucleotide ribosomal RNA is filed under the name uncultured bacterium. RNAcentral's name for it is "partial 16S ribosomal RNA". It matches the Rfam family "Bacterial small subunit ribosomal RNA", at positions 28 to 507 of the family's 1533-position model. The record is from RNAcentral.